UUGUAAACUGAUUUGUUUAUGGAUUGGUACAAACAAUAAUCUGCCAAACAAAUCAACUCAUAUUAAACUGAUACAAUGUGUUACAUACCAACUCAUCCAUAACAAGAUAGUGAUACAAACUCAUAUUGCUAACUGAUACAAAUUGAUACAUACCAAGUCAUCCAUACAAACUGAUACAUAGAAACUAAUUCAUACUCCUAAAACAUCCUAAAAAACAAUACACAUAAGAUUAUAAGAAACAUAAUACUCCAUAUCUUUUUCAAUUUCAAGAUCUUGUUCACUUGAGUUUGAAGUUCCAUCACAACUUUCCCUAAUUCUUCAUUUCGUACUUUGACUUUUUCAAACUCCUUUUUUGCAUCAUCAAUUUUCUUUGUUAUGCUUUCCAAUCUAUUCAUAAUAAAUUGCCCAUUCUCAUAUCCUAAAUCGUCAUGGAACCAAUUGAAAAAACCACACCCUUUUUGCAAGGAUCUCUGAAAAUUUCAUAUAUGUAUCAAAAUGGGUUUAUCACAUUUGGACAUAAAUCAAACUGAAAUUAGGGCUUACUUUAAAUUUGGACAACCCCAAAUUUCCCCCCAAAAUUCUUAUUAGUUGUUGCCCUACAAAUCACAGUUUUGUCCCCACAAUGACAUUUUGGUACCCAUCACGAGUUUACGUAUAGACUGGAUUCACAACUUUCAGAGUUCUUAUGCUUCAGAAAUGAAGAACAUUGGUCGGACUUCAUGCUUCGAAGAAAACACGGAUGAAGAGCAUGAUGCAAACGAAGAUGAAAAUUAUGCAUAUGAUAUAACCAAAGAUGAAAAUGAUGUAGAUGAUGCAAACAAAGAUGAAAAUGGUUCACAUGAUGUAACUGAAAAUGAAAACACAUACAAAAAUGAAGAUACAUAGUGAAAACGAAUAAGAAAAAUGGUAAUAAGGAAGGGACAUUGCCAACUCAACUGACACGUAGAUUAAAUAAACGAACGUUUGAGGAAAAUAAAUGAAAAGGACUCAUAUGCAUCUGUUACAAAGUUAAAGGACCAAAGUGACACGGAAAAAAAAAUUAAGAGAGCCAACUGAACCCAAUGGUAUAGUUAAGGGACCAAAAGAGGUAUUUUGCCUUUAUUAAAUGACUUCCACCAUCUAGAUUUAAGGUUGUCGAGUACGUUGGAUAAUCAUAUAAAACACCCCAAUCAAAGUUUCUUUUGAAAGUGAUCUUAAAAAGCUUUAUCUCAUUCCACCUUAAAGUGGCCUCUUCAUUUUUUAAUCUAAUAAGAGUGGGAAUGGGUGCUUAAGUACUUGAAGUAGCUUCAACUUUCUUUUGAUUUUUGGGUCCCGUGGUUAGUAGGUAAGAAAUAAGAUGAAAAAUAUUGGCUAUGGUUUGGGUUACCGAGUGUCAAAAUAAUAUAAUAAAUAAGAAGAUAAUCAACAAGUAAAAUUGUUGAAACUAAAACAUUAUUUAUAUAUUCAUAGAGUUGCGCCACUCUGGUGAUCUAGCGUGUCACAUUUUCAAUCUCCAACAUUCACAUAAAGACUAUAUAUGAUCUAAUCACACCACUUUUGGUACUAGGUGUGACGCGUGUAACACAUAACAGAAGAAUAAGUUUUGAGAGUGAAGGGGCGAGAUAGUACUUCUAUGGUAAUAUUCGGGGGUGACAGCGACUAGCGUUUCCCUAUGUACUUGAUUGAUGAACCUAUGGCCAUAAAUGACGUCAAUCUUGAUUACUUGGCCAUCACAUAGAUUGGAGUUGUUUAGAUUUUGGAAGAAUUUUCCAUUAUGAGCUCUCAGAAAAUGGUGGAGCUCGACCGCUAUGAUGACUACAUAGAAGAAACUUGAUAAAUAUUUGCCUACGUUUGAUUUUUGUUCAGGCACUUGAGACCAGACCUUUUCCUUUUUCCUAAUGUUUAUUAUUACUUUUUUACUUACAUAGAGGAUGAUCUCAUGAAUGUUACUAGGAGGAAAGAUCGCCAUGCAAGGAAUAAGGUGAUAAGUAUAAAAUUUUCUUGUUUUACAUAGGAACUAAUUGACUUAAAAUAUAAUUAGUCACGUGAAACAACCUCAAUUUAUCAAGUAAAGAUGAUAAAACACGUGUAUGAGCCUCUUAACUAUGUUGUUCAUAAGCACAAGUGAAAAUGAUCCAUGAAAACAUAAAUCAUCAAGAAAAAAGAUAGAGAAGCUCACCAGGAGAGACAUGGGAAUGCUUAAAGAAGCAAAUAAACUCACUUCUCUUAGUCAACGAAAGACCUCGCCCAACCAGAUGCAGGGCAACACAUGCAGGGAUCUCCUUGCUAGGAAAAGAAGAUAAUCAGCUAGGCGAGCUAAGGUGGAACGAAAAGCAUUCAAACCUUUAUUCAAAUCUAAGUUACUUCAGAUUGAAGAAAAAUGAAACUCAUUAGGCGAGGAUGACAGACUCACCUAGCAAAGCAAGGCAGUUUGAGAGUCCUUGUGGGCUACGUAACUUUAAGAGGAACGGAGACAAUCUCUCUAGGCGCAAAAUAGGGCUACGCCUAGCAAGGCAUGGCGGAACAUGACCACUUGGAUGAGCUGAAAAAUAAAUUGUGGGGAAAAAGACAAGUCCACUACCCAAGCUAAAGAUCUCACUAAGCGAUAAUGAUGCUACCAACCUCUACAAAUAGCAGAUGAAACCAGUUUAAAGGGAUACUUUUGGAUAGGAUUUGUUAAUACAUUCUCAUAGAAAAAUUCCAAAAAUAGCAAGAGAGAGAGAAUGGGGGAUUUAAGAGAGAGAGAGAGAGAGAGAGAGAUCAAAUGCAAAUGUUGUCCGAGAAAUCGACACGUAUGUAGGCAUGGCAACAUAACCCGUACCCGCGGGUACCCACCCGAACUCGCCCCGAAGUUGACGGGGAAAACCCGUUUUGACUGGGUUUGGGUUUGGGUUUUCCCCGAUUAUAAAAUAUGGGGACGACUCGGGUAAUGGGGACACUAGUACCCACCCCGAACCCACCCCGUUUAUUUAUUAUGUACAUUAUUAUUUAUUUUUGAUGAUUUAGAAUAUUAAAUAAGUGGCCAAUGUUUUAAUAUUUUGAUUUGUAUUAAUUAUUUAAAAUAUUCGAAAUGUAUGUAUGAUAUUUUUUUAGAUUUUUUUAUUUUAUUAUUUAUAAUGUAAUUUGAUUUUAAAAAACUUAAAUAUUUCUAUUAAAAAAAUUGAUUUCACUAAAUGGAUGGUGGCGGGGCGAGGAUACCCGAACCCAACCCGAACCCGUUUGGGACGGGUUUGGGUUUUAAUUCUCCAUCCCCGUUUGUGUUUGGGACGGGGAACGGGGAUUGUUUGGGGAUUCAGGUUUGGGUUUGGGGGAGGUGAAAAACGUCCUCGACCCGCCCCGUUGCCAUGCCGACACGUAUGUCAUUAAAUUUAUUUCUUCUAGGUCUUCAUUGUACAACUACUAUUAGUAAUAAUAUAUAAUUUCUCUUUUAUUGGGGUUAGAUGUAGUUGUACGAAUAUUCAUGUAUAAAUUAUGAUCAUGGCAUUUUAUGUAAAUCUAAUUAUGAUUUAAUACCAAUGAACUUCUUCAUGCUUAAUGCUUGUUUUAAAGUAGCUAACUAGAACAUGUUUUCAUGAUUUUUGAAUAAUAUCGAAAAAUACUUUUUGUAGUGUUAUAAUUGUAAACAGGCCCCGCCUAAGGCGAUGCCUUUAGACCUCCCCAAAAGAGGUGGCGAUAGAAUUUUUCCCAAAGGGAGGUAUCGCCUCGUCCCAUGACUUUCCUAUCACCCAGUCGUGGGAAACGUGAGAUACGAUGUUUCUUGGGUAGAGAGAAGCUAGGGUUAAUAACUGAACCUCGUCUCUCUUGGAAAUAUGGAUUCAACGGUCCACCAUUGACUGAGUAGGCGGUGACCCUUUCCAAGAAAUCUCGAGGCCUUAAAAGUCUCUAUAAAUAUUCUUCCCCCAAGGGAAGAAGACAUAUCAUUUGCACCCUAAGCAUAACGCUUAGACAAAUCAUAACUCAUAUUGAUCACACCUCUCACACGCUUACAACAAACAUAUCUUUCAUCUAUAAAGCCUCUCACCUCACGUGAGCAAGACUUAUAAAACCACCAUAAUACACCAAUGUAUAUGGUUUCUUGCCGUCGUGGACAAGCUCUAACCACUCCAAAUUUUUAUAAACCUACUAAGGCCUCUAAGUCCCCCUUCCCUUGCAAGAGGAGCAUGCACAUAUAUACUUUUUGACCAUUGCAGUAACGCCCACCAUGGGACUCCAGUAAAACUUAACUGGGCCACAAUCAUACUUCAACUCCCCAAUCUUCCCUCUGAAGAUGGCAUGCAGAACUCUAUCUUAUGACAUAAACAUUGUUGCCUCGGGUUUCUUCAAUAGAUGUAACUUUAGAUCCUCCCAAAGGAAACACGUAAGACAUGUGUUUGCAACAAGGUGAUAUCCCAUGGGUUCACUUGAAACAACCUAGGGAGUUCAUGGGUUAAUAUCACCUUCUUUGAGGAGGAGGCCUUCAACAUCAACCCUCACAAUGAUGAUUCGUUGGUCAUCACUAUGUAACAUGGCAAUUGAGAUAUCAAAUACGUCUUGAUAGAUCAUGGUAGCUCUGCUGACAUCUUAUUCUAAGACGCCUUCCAAAAACUAUGAAUUGACCCUACAAUGGUUUAUUAAUGAGGUUGUCAGGCUAACAUGUACAAAUAAUGGGAUAUGUAACCCUAGAGACCACAUAUGGUGACGACGAGAACGCCUGAGCAAUUGACGUAAAUUACCUUAUUGUGGAUGCCUUGUCGCCAUAUAACAUCAUCCUCAGACGACCUACCUUCAACAUUCUGGAGCCAGUUGUUUCCAUCAUAUACAUUUCCCUAAAGUAACCACUUCCGAGAGGGCGAGUCGGUACAAUUCGAGAAGAUCAACAAAUUGCCCAAGAAUUCUAUCAGAAUAGCCUUAUGGAGGAUAAAAAAGAUCCCACCUUGGUUGAUUCCAACCUUUAUGAAGUUCAAAAUACUAAUCUCGAGUGUUGGGACCCCAAACUGGCCGCAAAAGAAGAAAGGCUCACGCCUACAGAGGAUUUAAACAAGGUCUAUAUAGUUCCUCACACCCACUAGGUGACGAAGAUAUGUACCUUAUGCAUAAAGGAGGAAUGGGAACUAGUCGACCAAUUCAUUAAAUGUUUGAUUGGGAUCCCUCCGACAUGCCAUGGAUAGACACCAGAGUGGUAUGUCAUCGCCUCUCCAUCCACCCUUCCUCCAGACCAGUGACCCAAAAGAAGUGAAAAAUAGGUGAGGAAAAGAGAGUCGUCAUAUAUGAAGAUGUCGAAAUACUAUUUGACUUUAUUCAUCACAAGAACAAAAUACCUCACCUGGCUCCCCAACGUGGUUCUAGUAAGGAAAACCAACAACAAAUGGUGCUUGUGUGUGUGUGGCUUUCACCGAUCUAAAUGUUGCAUGUCCUAAAUACCCAUACCCGUUGCAAGACAUUGAUCACCUCAUCGAUGGGUCAUUAAGAUACCGCACGUUAAGCUUCACGCCAACAUCAUAAAAUCUCAUAUCUUUCUCAUUAAAACUCAGGAAAUAUCAGGUAUGCUAAUAAACUUAAUGUUCUAUAUUGAUUUCCUUUGCAUACAACUUGAAUGUUGAUUCAUGCUUCCAUUGUUUACAUUUUCUCAAGUUUGGAAGUAACAAAUAGAUAACAUGAUUAGGAAAUAAAAAAACUAUACUUCAUUUAUUCAUGCCCUAGCUAUCACUUUUAUGCUGAGAAACAUCAUUCUUGGAUUGUCAUAACAUCUUGAUUAGGUUUUUUUUAGAAAAAUAAUUUAUAUGGUAGUUGGGUGUUGUUUAAAAUAUGUGAAAUUUUAGGUUCCUACAUGCUAUACUUUUGUGACUUAAUAGGUGGAUAUUGUCAAAGUCAUUGAAUUUUUAUAAGACCUUGCCUCCUAGAUGUCAUGAACCAUCAGGAAUAGAAGAAGGAACCCAAGGUUAAACUUUGAGUGUUGAUGAUUGAAUGAUUGUGUUGCCCCAAAAUGAUACACAACUAGGUUUUGUUAAACUUGAACCAAAAUCAUAUUUAACCUAUAUUUUCAAUUUUGCAAAUCAUUUAUGAAUAGUGAAAAGAUGUAACUUCAUAUGCAUAGUCUUGUUCUCUAACAAUUCUUCAAGUUUUAUUAUGACUAUGAAUGUUGUAAGUGGCUCCUAAAAGAUCAACCAUUUGAAGAAAAGGGCAAGAAGCGAGAUCAUCCUGAGUGCCAUAUGAUCACGACAGAUUCAAAAGUCAUGUGCAUGAAAGUUUUUAUGAACAAAUAAAAAGCAGACUACUAAUCAGUCAAAGAAAGGUUCAUCUGGAGGAUCCAGGAGAAUUAAUCAGUCAAAGAAAGGUUCAUCUGGAGGAUCCAGGAGAAUUUUAAGGUUUUGUACAAGAAAACAACAUUAUAAAGUGAAGAGUGUUGGAGAAUCCUCCAUAAGUGAUUAACUUGGACAUCAUCAUAGAAUUCUUGCUAAUUUUAAACCAUCUAAGGAUGACCAGCUUAAAAGAAUAUAUUGGGUGAGAGGCGGCUUAGUACCAAUCAAUAGAGAAGCUAUCCAUGAAUACUUAGAAGAUAUUUGUGAGGUAGAUCCUAGUAAACUAGACCCGUUUGCUAAGAAAAUUGCAAGGGAAAUUGGGACUACGACCAAAUAUCGACCAACAUUUGCCAUGAAGACAAAUCUUAUGAAAUGGGCUUAGAUGAAACACCAAUCCAAAUUUAAGAGAGCUAACUUCUACACCAUAUCAAAAAUGUGGAUGACCUUCAUCUUACAUAAUGUCACCCCAAAAAGCCACACUUCUUCAACAAUCCUCCACACAACCCAACUCAUUUGGUAUAUUGUAACUAAUUGAUAAAUAGACAUAUCAAGGAUUAUUUUCGAUAAAAUAUGGGAUAUCAUAAAUUCAAAUACCAAACCUCCGCUAGUUUUCCUAAGUUUAAUCACCAGAUUAUGUAGAACACAUAAGGUAGAUUUUCUAGGCCACCACCACCUCUGCACCAGUUCAAGAACGGAGUAGGAGUUUGUGCUUUGCUAUUGUAUGAGGGAGAACUUGUAGAGCACGAAAUCAUCUAGCUACCCCGCAUUAUCAAGGAUCCCCAAAAUUUGAUAUUAUGGAUCUUAGUAUGAUGGUCUGCUUUACUCAUAAUUGGGAUAUUAGUGAUGCAUACCUUCUUACUCUGUUUUUUUAUCAAUGAUUUAUAAACAAUUUAGAGCUGCGGAUUAAGGACCCAUAUUCCCCAUAUGAUCACAUGCUUCCUCGAAAAGAUUUCAUUAGCUAUUUUCAGUGGCAUGAGAGCAGACCGUUUCAAAACAGUUGAAUUUUUUAACAACAAAAUAUUUUGCUUAAAGAUAAGGAUUAACUAACCAAUUUAAAAAUUAUAUAAAAAAACAAAUUAAUUUGGCUUUAUUGCAACUUUGGUCCUCCUAUUUUCUUUUUCUUUUUUAACUUUUGAUCCAUCUAUUUUAAAAUCUAGAAUUUUGGUUACUUUUUAAGUUAUUUAUUUAUUUAUUUAUUUUAGUUCUUUUUUUAAUUUGAGACUAAUUUUUAAUGAUGUGGCGUUGAGAGUGAUGACUUGUCACUUUUAAGUUAACCAGUUUUAUUUCCACAUCAUUUUAAUUAAUAAUAUUAAUAUUAUAAAAAAAUAAAAAAAUAAUCUGUUACUAUUAUUUAAAGAGUCACAAAUUCUCUCAAAUGAACCCUAACCUAACCCUCAAACGUGUUUCUUCUCUGUCUCUUACGGUCUCCAUUCUCCAUCUAUUCUUCUCCAUAUAGUUUUUUCUCCAAACCCAAUUUCUUCUCCAUUCCUUACUGUCUCUUUUUCUUUUCCUCUUCACCCAUACCAUAGACAACGUGUAUUAGAUGCCCCCUCACUUUUAAUCAUUCUUUCAAGUUGCAUAUAUGAUAUUAAGUCCACAUCCUAAUCCAUUUCAUUUUAGAAACAAUCUCAUCAACAUACAACUUCACAUGAUGAUGUACAAAUUGACCCUAUGAUGUAUUGUAAGUCUAACAAGUUAUUUUUCAGUUGGCCCACACAAAAAAAAAACACAACAAAAUUCGUAAGGAACACAACAAACAUAAAACAUAAUAAUUAACAAGUCUUCACAGUGAGAAGAACAAGGAGAAAAACGAAUCUUCCCAAGAAAAAAACCUAAGCAAAACUCGGAGAAGAACAAACAUACCUCAAUAUACAAGACGAAUUUGACAUUGUUGACGAAGAACAUAGAACGCAGAACUCAGAACUUGAUGCUUGAAGACAAACACAAGAACGCAGGAACAGAAAUCCAGUAACGCUUGAAGAGAGCUUGAAGGUGUCGAACAAAAUCACAAUAACACUUGAAUAUGUCGAAGACAGUCGCAUGAACGCUUGGGUUCGGAUUUUCUUUUCUAAACAAUGAUUUGAAAAACGCCGAUUUCUUUUAAGAGGAC
RNAcentral lists this long non-coding RNA (8367 nucleotides) under Lathyrus oleraceus (garden pea). Its description in RNAcentral is "Pisum sativum (pea) long non-coding RNA (PSAT_LNC029617)". The record is from RNAcentral. Lineage: Eukaryota; Viridiplantae; Streptophyta; Magnoliopsida; Fabales; Fabaceae.